UACGGAGGGUGCAAGCGUUAUCCGGAAUCACUGGGUUUAAAGGGUGCGUAGGCGGUCCAAUAAGUCAGCUGUGAAAUCGCUGGGCUCAACCCAUGCAAUUGCAGUUGAUACUGUCGGACUUGAAUAGGUUUGAGGCUAGCGGAAUGCGACAUGUAGCGGUGAGAUGCUUAGAUAUGUCGCAGAACACCGAUUGCGAAGGCAGCUAGCUGGGCCCUUAUUGACGCUGAGGCACGAAAGCGUGGGGAGCAAACAGG
Molecule: ribosomal RNA, 254 nt
Filed under: uncultured bacterium
Lineage: Bacteria
Description: partial 16S ribosomal RNA
Rfam family: Bacterial small subunit ribosomal RNA
Source: RNAcentral